RNAcentral lists this ribosomal RNA (253 nucleotides) under uncultured bacterium. RNAcentral's name for it is "partial 16S ribosomal RNA". It matches the Rfam family "Bacterial small subunit ribosomal RNA", at positions 524 to 776 of the family's 1533-position model. The record is from RNAcentral.
UACGUAGGGUGCGAGCGUUGCUCGGAAUUACUGGGCGUAAAGGGCGCGUAGGCGGUUUGCUAAGUUGAAUGUGAAAACUCUGGGCUUAACCCAGAGCCUGCAUUCAAUACUGGCAGGCUGGAGUUCUGGAGGGGAUAGCGGAAUUCCUGGUGUAGCGGUGAAAUGCGUAGAUAUCGGGAGGAACAUCUGUGGCGAAGGCGACACCCUGGACCAGCACUGACACUGAGGCACGAAAGCGUGGGGAGCAAACGGG